This 460-nucleotide ribosomal RNA is filed under the name uncultured bacterium. Its description in RNAcentral is "partial 16S ribosomal RNA". It matches the Rfam family "Bacterial small subunit ribosomal RNA", at positions 338 to 795 of the family's 1533-position model. The record is from RNAcentral.
CCUACGGGAGGCAGCAGUGAGGAAUAUUGGUCAAUGGACGAGAGUCUGAACCAGCCAAGUAGCGUGAAGGAUGACUGCCCUCUGGGUUGUAAACUUCUUUUAUAAAGGAAUAAAACGAGGCACGUGUGCCUUUUUGCAUGUACUUUAUGAAUAAGGAUCGGCUAACUCCGUGCCAGCAGCCGCGGUAAUACGGAGGAUCCGAGCGUUAGCCGGAUUUAUUGGGUUUAAAGGGAGCGUAGAUGGGUUGUUAAGUCAGUUGUGAAAGUUUGCGGCUCAACCGGAAAAUUGCAAUUGAUACUGGAAGUCUUGAGUACAGUUGAGGUAGGCGGAAUUCGUGGUGUAGCGGUGAAAUGCUUAGAUAUCACGAAGAACCCCGAUUGCGAAGGCAGCUUACUAAACUGUGACUGACAUUGAUGCUCGAAAGUGUGGGUAUCAAACAGGAUUAGAUACCCGAGUAGUC